AUACGAGGGGUGCAAGCGUUAAUCGGAAUUACUGGGCGUAAAGCGUUCGUAGGCGGUUUGUUAAGCAAGAUGUGAAAGCCCAGGGCUCAACCUUGGAACUGCAUUUUGAACUGGCAGACUAGAGUAUUGUAGAGGGUGGUGGAAUUUCCAGUGUAGCGGUGAAAUGCGUAGAGAUUGGAAGGAACAUCAGUGGCGAAGGCGGCCACCUGGACAAAUACUGACGCUGAGGAACGAAAGCGUGGGGAGCAAACAGGAUUAGAAACCCUGGUAGUCC
RNAcentral lists this ribosomal RNA (274 nucleotides) under uncultured bacterium. Its description in RNAcentral is "partial 16S ribosomal RNA". It matches the Rfam family "Bacterial small subunit ribosomal RNA", at positions 523 to 796 of the family's 1533-position model. The record is from RNAcentral.